UUAAUGGAGAGUUUGAUCCUGGCUCAGGACGAACGCUGGCGGCGUGCCUAAUACAUGCAAGUCGAGCGGGGUUGUUUAGAAGCUUGCUUCUAAACAACCUAGCGGCGGACGGGUGAGUAACACGUAGGCAACCUGCCCACAAGACAGGGAUAACUACCGGAAACGGUAGCUAAUACCCGAUACAUCCUUUUCCUGCAUGGGAGAAGGAGGAAAGACGGAGCAAUCUGUCACUUGUGGAUGGGCCUGCGGCGCAUUAGCUAGUUGGUGGGGUAAAGGCCUACCAAGGCGACGA
Molecule: ribosomal RNA, 292 nt
Filed under: Paenibacillus polymyxa
Lineage: Bacteria; Bacillati; Bacillota; Bacilli; Caryophanales; Paenibacillaceae
Description: partial 16S ribosomal RNA
Rfam family: Bacterial small subunit ribosomal RNA
Source: RNAcentral